AGAGAGAGACAUGCGCGCAUAUCAAUAAGCGGAGGAAAAGAAACUAACUAGGAUUCCCUCAGUAACGGCGAGUGAAGCGGGAAGAGCUCAAAUUUGAAAUCUUCAAGGUUCUACCUUGACGAAUUGUAGUUUAAAGAAGUGUUUUCUGUUGGAGUUUUGGUAAAAGUUCUUUGGAAUAGGACAUCAUAGAGGGUGAGAAUCCCGUAUUUGACCAUUAUUUUCAGCUGUGUGAUACACUUUCAAAGAGUCGGAUUGUUUGGGAAUGCAGUCCAAAAUGGGUGGUAAAUUUCAUCUAAAGCUAAAUAUUGGCGAGAGACCGAUAGCGAACAAGUACCGUGAGGGAAAGAUGAAAAGAACUUUGAAAAGAGAGUUAAACAGUACGUGAAAUUGUCAAAAGGGAAGCGUUUGACACCAGUGUUGUUUUCUGAAAAUCAAUUAAAAAGCAGGAUUUUGCUAGCUGUAUUAGACUUUAUCAGCUAUCUGCAUUAUUUUCGAUCUUUUCUUUAAUGCACUUUUCAGUUUAACAAGUCAACAUCAAUUUCUUUUGUUGUAAAAGGGUCAUUGGAAGGUGGCUUUCUUUUCGGAGAAAGUGUUUAUAGCCUUUGGCCUCUGCAAUCGGAGAGAUUGAGGUCUGCAGCGUAGAUCCUUCGGGGUUAGAUACAUUUGUGCUAAGUUAUAGCCUUUCAUAGACAACUUGUUGACUAUGAUCAGUCAUGUAGCUUACUCGCUUAUGCUAUUUUACCUACGCUUAGGAUGUUGAUGUGAUACUGCGAGCA
Molecule: ribosomal RNA, 776 nt
Filed under: uncultured Neocallimastigales
Lineage: Eukaryota; Fungi; Neocallimastigomycota; Neocallimastigomycetes; Neocallimastigales
Description: partial large subunit ribosomal RNA
Rfam family: Eukaryotic large subunit ribosomal RNA
Source: RNAcentral